UGGGAACCGAGAAUGCAAUCAUCACUGCAAAAAUAAACAUACAUGUGGACAUGACUGCUGUAAAAUUGGGGUUGCACAGAAGUUAGAAGUUAAAGAGUCAGCAAUUUCUUCAUAUUUAUCUGACUUAAGGAACAGGAAUGCUGUUUCAUCUCUUCCUCCAUUUAAAUGUCUCAAGCUACAGAUGAAUAAAUCUCAAAGUGUGGAUCUCAAAGAGUUUGGUUUUACUCCAAAACCUUCUAUAUCCAAUAGAUCAAGG
This is a long non-coding RNA of Dipodomys spectabilis (banner-tailed kangaroo rat), 256 nucleotides long. RefSeq lists it as uncharacterized. Lineage: Eukaryota; Metazoa; Chordata; Mammalia; Rodentia; Heteromyidae. The transcript has 3 exons. The record is from RefSeq and is a predicted model, not a curated record.